RNAcentral lists this ribosomal RNA (430 nucleotides) under Pseudomonadota bacterium. RNAcentral's name for it is "Proteobacteria bacterium partial 16S ribosomal RNA". It matches the Rfam family "Bacterial small subunit ribosomal RNA", at positions 355 to 776 of the family's 1533-position model. The record is from RNAcentral. Lineage: Bacteria; Pseudomonadati; Pseudomonadota.
UGGGGAAUAUUGGACAAUGGGGGGAACCCUGAUCCAGCCAUGCCGCGUGUGUGUAGAAGGCCUUAUGGUUGUAAAGCACUUUAAGCGAGGAGGAGGGUACUGGUAUUAAUACUACCAGGUACUGGACGUUACUCGCAGAAUAAGCACCGGCUAACUCUGUGCCAGCAGCCGCGGUAAUACAGAGGGUGCGAGCGUUAAUCGGAUUUACUGGGCGUAAAGCGUGCGUAGGCGGCUAAUUGAGUCGGAUGUGAAAUCCCCGAGCUUAACUUGGGAAUUGCAUUCGAUACUGGUUAGCUAGAGUGUGGGAGAGGAUGGUAGAAUUCCAGGUGUAGCGGUGAAAUGCGUAGAGAUCUGGAGGAAUACAGAUGGCGAAGGCAGCCAUCUGGCCUAACACUGACGCUGAGGUACGAAAGCAUGGGGAGCAAACAGG